This 468-nucleotide ribosomal RNA is filed under the name uncultured bacterium. RNAcentral's name for it is "partial 16S ribosomal RNA". It matches the Rfam family "Bacterial small subunit ribosomal RNA", at positions 28 to 507 of the family's 1533-position model. The record is from RNAcentral.
GAUGAACGCUGGCGGCGUGCUUAAUACAUGCAAGUCGAACGGACAGGCGCUGCGCUUGUGGGGUGCUCGAGUGGCGAACGGGGGAGUAACACGCGUGUAACCUGCCCUUGACUGUGGGAUAACUUCAGGAAACUGGGGCUAAUACCGGAUAGGAGCUCUUGCUGCACGGUGGGGGAUGGAAAGUUUCGGCGGUUUGGGAUGGACUCGCGGCAUAUCAGCUUGUUGGGGGGGUAGUGGCUUCCCAAGGCUAUGACGGGUAGCCGGCCUGAGAGGGUGGCCAGCCACAAUGGGCCUGAGGUACGGAGCAGUCUCCUACGGGCGGCAGCAGUGGAGAGUCUUGCGCAGUGGGCGCACGCGUGUUGCAGCGACGCCGCGUUCGUGAUGACGUCCUACGGGUUGUGAACAGAUUUGGACUGUGCUGAAGAGUGCGUGACGGUAAUGGGUAAGAAAGCCCCGGCUAACUACGUG